RNAcentral lists this ribosomal RNA (497 nucleotides) under uncultured bacterium. Its description in RNAcentral is "partial 16S ribosomal RNA". It matches the Rfam family "Bacterial small subunit ribosomal RNA", at positions 28 to 507 of the family's 1533-position model. The record is from RNAcentral.
GAUGAACGCUGGCGGCGUGCCUAAUACAUGCAAGUCGAGCGAACAGACGAGGAGCUUGCUCCUCUGACGUUAGCGGCGGACGGGUGAGUAACACGUGGAUAACCUACCUAUAAGACUGGGAUAACUUCGGGAAACCGGAGCUAAUACCGGAUAAUAUAUUGAACCGCAUGGUUCAAUAGUGAAAGACGGUUUUGCUGUCACUUAUAGAUGGAUCCGCGCCGCAUUAGCUAGUUGGUAAGGUAACGGCUUACCAAGGCAACGAUGCGUAGCCGACCUGAGAGGGUGAUCGGCAACACUGGAACUGGGACACGGUCCAGACUCCUACGGGAGGCAGCAGUAGGGAAUCUUCCGCAAUGGGCGAAAGCCUGACGGAGCAACGCCGCGUGGGUGAUGAAGGUCUUCGGAUCGUAAAACUCUGUUAUUGGGGAAGAAAAAAUGUGUAAGUAACUAUGCACGUCUUGACGGUACCUAAUCAGAAAGCCACGGCUAACUACGUG